RNAcentral lists this ribosomal RNA (232 nucleotides) under uncultured bacterium. Its description in RNAcentral is "partial 16S ribosomal RNA". It matches the Rfam family "Bacterial small subunit ribosomal RNA", at positions 99 to 334 of the family's 1533-position model. The record is from RNAcentral.
CGGACGGGUGAGUAAUGUCUGGGGAUCUGCCUGAUGGAGGGGGAUAACUACUGGAAACGGUAGCUAAUACCGCAUAACGUCGCAAGACCAAAGAGGGGGACCUUAGGGCCUCUUGCCAUCGGAUGUGCCCAGAUGGGAUUAGCUAGUAGGUGGGGUAACGGCUCACCUAGGCGACGAUCCCUAGCUGGUCUGAGAGGAUGACCAGCCACGCUGGAACUGAGACACGGUCCAG